This 253-nucleotide ribosomal RNA is filed under the name uncultured bacterium. Its description in RNAcentral is "partial 16S ribosomal RNA". It matches the Rfam family "Bacterial small subunit ribosomal RNA", at positions 524 to 776 of the family's 1533-position model. The record is from RNAcentral.
UACGAAGGGGGCUAGCGUUGCUCGGAAUCACUGGGCGUAAAGGGUGCGUAGGCGGGUUUUUAAGUCAGAGGUGAAAUCCUGGAGCUCAACUCCAGAACUGCCUUUGAUACUGUUUGGCUAGAGACCGGAAGAGGUAAGUGGAACUGCGAGUGUAGAGGUGAAAUUCGUAGAUAUUCGCAAGAACACCAGUGGCGAAGGCGGCUUACUGGUCCGGUUCUGACGCUGAGGCGCGAAAGCGUGGGGAGCAAACAGG